CACCACCACCAUACGUCUACAGCU
RNAcentral lists this non-coding RNA (24 nucleotides) under Arabidopsis thaliana (thale cress). The record is from RNAcentral. Lineage: Eukaryota; Viridiplantae; Streptophyta; Magnoliopsida; Brassicales; Brassicaceae.